Dermochelys coriacea (leatherback sea turtle) is the source of this 378-nucleotide long non-coding RNA. RefSeq lists it as uncharacterized. The transcript has 3 exons. Lineage: Eukaryota; Metazoa; Chordata; Testudines; Dermochelyidae. The record is from RefSeq and is a predicted model, not a curated record.
UAGCAGAGAUUUCACUGUAAUCCAGGUUUUGCAAUUUGCAGACUGAAAACAAUUGGAAUGUUUACAUGAAAUAUUCCACUCACUGUUAGCAGGUUCCCUUUGGCAUCACUGGAGAACCAAAAAAUGAUAGUCAUCCUCUCCAAAGAUGCUGCAAAAGAUGCACCAUACUUCUAGGUAUGUACAUUUGGGGGCUAAACAGGCUGCACUUACUGUUCCUCUGACAACAGGCAGGUCAGUAUGACAUUCAUAACAAAACGAUGUUGAUGACAUGAAACAACCACAUGAUCUAUUUAUCAGAAUGGAACAGAGGCCCUGAUGUUUAUCCAGAUAAGUGAAAGAUUCUGCACAGGAAAUAUACCUUACAAGUGCUCAGAUACU